UUUAACGGCCGCGGUACCCUAACCGUGCGAAGGUAGCAUAAUCACUUGUUCUUUAAAUGAGGACUCGUAUCAACGGCAUCACGAGGAUCCUACUGUCUCCCCCCUCUAAUCGGUGAAACUGAUCUCUCCGUGAAGAAGCGGAGAUGUACAUAUAAGACGAGAAGACCCCAUGGAGCUUUAAACCCAACAACACCCGCCCCCCUCCAAAUCCUAUUAUUUACCCGGUGAUUGUUUGUUUGGUUUUAGGUUGGGGUGACCGCGGAGUAUAAGAUAUCCUCCAUGAAAAAAAGCUAACUGCCCUUAUUAGAGAAAGACACUUCCAAAAAAUAAUAAAUUAAUUUUAAAUGAUCCGAUAUUCGAUCAACGAACCAAGUUACCCUGGGGAUAACAGCGCAAUCCGUCCCGAGAGCCCCUAUCGACAGGCGGGUUUACGACCUCGAUGUUGGAUCAGGGUAUCCUAGUGGUGCAGCAGCUACUAAAGGUUCGUUUGUUCAACGAUUAAAACCCU
RNAcentral lists this ribosomal RNA (508 nucleotides) under Boophis madagascariensis (Madagascar bright-eyed frog). RNAcentral's name for it is "partial 16S ribosomal RNA". It matches the Rfam family "Bacterial large subunit ribosomal RNA", at positions 1923 to 2597 of the family's 2925-position model. The record is from RNAcentral. Lineage: Eukaryota; Metazoa; Chordata; Amphibia; Anura; Mantellidae.